This 524-nucleotide ribosomal RNA is filed under the name uncultured bacterium. RNAcentral describes it as "bacterial SSU rRNA". It matches the Rfam family "Bacterial small subunit ribosomal RNA", at positions 8 to 521 of the family's 1533-position model. The record is from RNAcentral.
AGAGUUUGAUCCUGGCUCAGGAUGAACGCUAGCUACAGGCUUAACACAUGCAAGUCGAGGGGCAGCAUGAACUUAGCUUGCUAAGUUUGAUGGCGACCGGCGCACGGGUGAGUAACACGUAUCCAACCCUCCGUUUACUCAGGGAUAGCCUUUCGAAAGAAAGAUUAAUACCUGAUAGUAUGGUGAGAUUGCAUGAUAGCACCAUUAAAGAUUUAUUGGUAAACGAUGGGGAUGCGUUCCAUUAGGUAGUAGGCGGGGUAACGGCCCACCUAGCCGACGAUGGAUAGGGGUUCUGAGAGGAAGGUCCCCCACAUUGGAACUGAGACACGGUCCAAACUCCUACGGGAGGCAGCAGUGAGGAAUAUUGGUCAAUGGGCGAGAGCCUGAACCAGCCAAGUAGCGUGAAGGAUGAAGGUCCUACGGAUUGUAAACUUCUUUUAUACGGGAAUAAAGUUUCCUACGUGUAGGAUUUUGUAUGUACCGUAUGAAUAAGCAUCGGCUAACUCCGUGCCAGCAGCCGCGGU